AAAUUUUGUAAUUUAAAAAAUUUAUUAAAAAUUUAUUUUAUAUAUAAAUUUUAGUGUUGAUUUAUAAUUAUUUUAAAAAUAAUUAUAUUAUUUAGGGGUAGUAAUUAAUAUUAAAAGUUUAAGAAAUUAAGAUUUAGUAAUAUAAGAAUAAAUAACAAAUUUUGUGCCAGCAGUUGCGGUUAUACAAAAAUUUAAAUAAAUUAUUAUUAAUGGUAGUAAGUAUAUACAUAUAGUAGAAAAUUAAAUUAAAUAUUAAAUUAUUAGGUGAAAUUAUAAUUUAUUUAAAUUUUAAUAAGUUAUUAUUAUUUAAUAAGAUUUGUUAAUAAACUAGGAUUAGAUACCCUAUUAUAAAAGAUUAAACUUAAACAUUAAAAUAGUAAACAAUUUAUUUGUUGAAAUUUAAAUAAUUUGGCGGUAUUUUAGUUCAUUUAGAGGAAUCUGUCUUGUAAUUGAUAAUCCACGAAUAAACUUACUUAAUUUAAAAUUUUAUAUAUCGUUGUUAUAAAAAUAUUUUUUAAUAAAUAAUAAUAUUUUAAAUUUUAUAAUAGAAUUUAAAUCAGAUCAAGAUGUAGAUAAUAAUUAAGUAUUAUGAUGGAUUACAAUAAAUUAAUUUAAAUGAAUAUUAAUUUGUAAUAAGUUAAUUAAAAGUGGAUUUAAAUGUAAUUUUAUUUAAUUUGUUAAAAUGAUUAAAAAUUAAAAUAUGUACAUAUUGCCCGUCGCUUUCAUUACAAGUUGGAAUAAGUCGUAACAAAGUAGAGGUACUGGAAAGUGUUUCUAGAAAGAAUU
RNAcentral lists this non-coding RNA (786 nucleotides) under Zeuzera multistrigata. Lineage: Eukaryota; Metazoa; Arthropoda; Insecta; Lepidoptera; Cossidae. The record is from RNAcentral.